This is a non-coding RNA of Acanthosepion pharaonis, 112 nucleotides long. The record is from the annotation of a GenBank genome assembly. NCBI's taxonomy places the organism in Eukaryota, Metazoa, Mollusca, Cephalopoda, Sepiida, Sepiidae.
UCCGGCCAUAUCACGUUGAAACACCGGCUCCCAUAAGAUCAUCAAAGUUAAGCAAAGCGAAGCUUGUCAGUAUAUAGAUAGGUGACUGCUUGUGAAUACCAGGUGCUGUAAU